This 253-nucleotide ribosomal RNA is filed under the name uncultured bacterium. Its description in RNAcentral is "partial 16S ribosomal RNA". It matches the Rfam family "Bacterial small subunit ribosomal RNA", at positions 524 to 776 of the family's 1533-position model. The record is from RNAcentral.
UACGUAGGGUGCGAGCGUUGUCCGGAAUUAUUGGGCGUAAAGAGCUUGUAGGCGGUCUGUCGCGCCUGCUGUGAAAAUCCGGGGCUCAACCCCGGACUUGCAGUGGGUACGGGCAGACUAGAGUGUGGUAGGGGAGACUGGAAUUCCUGGUGUAGCGGUGGAAUGCGCAGAGAUGCGGAGGAACACCAGUGGCGAAAGCGACUUUCUGGUCCUUAACUGACGCUGAGGCGCGAAAGCAUGGGGAGCGAACGGG